AAUUCCAAGCUCAGUUUGCUCCAAAUGAAGGAAUUCCAAGCUCAGUUUGUUCCAUCUGAAGGAAUUCCAAGCUCAAUUUAUUCCAAACAAAGGAAUUCCAAGCUCACUCACUGUGGCUGCUGAUGUGCUGAGUGAAUUCCCAAAUCCCAGGGAUGGGAGAUGGGGACAUUUGGGGACAAACCAGGACAAACUGGGCUCCUUUUUUUUGGGGGGGGGGAAAAGCAGCUUUUGGGGGAAGCUUUCCUUGUUGUUCCAUAAAUCCUCCAGCUGGUGGAUGUUUGGAAAAGUUUGGGAAUAACAGGGUUGGAAAGAUGAUGGGAAUUUGGGGAAUUUUCUUACACUAGGUUUUGUGCAUGUUCCUUCUUGGUCUUCUAAAAUAAUUUGCUUUUCUUUUUCUAGAAUUUCUCCCAAGUUUCUGGAAAUCUGGGAAUUGUUUCAAAUUAUUUAUUAUCUCAGCAUCCCAGAAUUCCUCCUGGAUUUGUACAUACAUGAUAUAUUUAUAUUUGGUUUUAUUGGCACUCGUUUUCCAGCAGGAUUUAAUUCCUCCAGCACCUGCUUUUUUUUGGUGCUCUGGAAUUUGUGCUUUUAAAAUUUGAACCUUUGAAAUUCCUGCAGAGGGGUUUUUACCUGGCAAAGCAAUGGAAAAAAAAAAAAAAGUGCAAUAGGAGAGUUGUUGGAAUACAUGGAUUUUAAAUAAAUUAUUUAAGUUCAGGUAAUUUAUAUCUUUAAUAGGAUUUAUUUGGGAGCUUUGACUUUAGGGGGGAGGAAAAAAAAAAGGACUCAAAUAAUGCUGAUGGUGCAUAUUCAGAGCAGGGGGAUUUUUCCAGUGG
This is a non-coding RNA of Sturnus vulgaris (Common starling), 830 nucleotides long. The record is from RefSeq and is a predicted model, not a curated record. NCBI's taxonomy places the organism in Eukaryota, Metazoa, Chordata, Aves, Passeriformes, Sturnidae.